This 94-nucleotide transfer RNA is filed under the name Syntrophorhabdus sp. PtaB.Bin006. Its description in RNAcentral is "tRNA-Ser". It matches the Rfam family "tRNA". Rfam says of the family: Transfer RNA (tRNA) molecules are approximately 80 nucleotides in length. The record is from RNAcentral. Lineage: Bacteria; Pseudomonadati; Thermodesulfobacteriota; Syntrophorhabdia; Syntrophorhabdales; Syntrophorhabdaceae. RNAcentral also lists the same sequence under 4 other names.
GGAGAGAUGUCCGAGCGGCUGAAGGAGCACGACUGGAAAUCGUGUGCACGUGCUAAAACGCGUGCCGAGGGUUCAAAUCCCUCUCUCUCCGCCA